GACGAACGCUGGCGGCGUGCUUAACACAUGCAAGUCGAACGGAAAGGCCCUGCUUGCAGGGUACUCGAGUGGCGAACGGGUGAGUAACACGUGGGUGAUCUGCCCUGCACUUCGGGAUAAGCCUGGGAAACUGGGUCUAAUACCGGAUAGGAGCCAUUUUUAGUGUGAUGGUUGGAAAGUUUUUUCGGUGUAGGAUGAGCUCGCGGCCUAUCAGCUUGUUGGUGGGGUAAUGGCCUACCAAGGCGGCGACGGGUAGCCGGCCUGAGAGGGUGGACGGCCACAUUGGGACUGAGAUACGGCCCAGACUCCUACGGGGGGCAGCAGUGGGGAAGAUUGCACAAUGGGCGCAAGCCUGAUGCAGCGACGCCGCGUGGGGGAUGACGGCCUUCGGGUUGUAAACUCCUUUCGCUAGGGACGAAGCUUUUUGUGACGGUACCUAGAUAAGAAGCACCGGCUAACUACGUG
Molecule: ribosomal RNA, 465 nt
Filed under: uncultured bacterium
Lineage: Bacteria
Description: partial 16S ribosomal RNA
Rfam family: Bacterial small subunit ribosomal RNA
Source: RNAcentral